CUGGCUAUUUAGCUAACGUUACGUGACUUGUGUGAUCUUAAACGUUGUUUACCUAGCUAGAUUCAUUGUUUACCUAGCUAACUAGCUAUAUGUCUUAAGCUGAAGUGUACUGUUAGCUAGCUAGCUAAAGUUAGCUGGAUGGCUCCCUAGCGGACAUUAUUAUUCGUUUCCCAGAGCUGUUGGCUUUUCUAUUUAGAGACAAAUUUUAGCUAGAUAACAUUGAACAUUGUUGGUUAGCUCCCAGCACUGGGGCAUUGUUGGCACUUUGUUCAUUGUUGUUUAACUAGCUAACAUUAACUGGCUGGCUCAUUAGCUAACGUUACGUGACGUGUGUACAACACCCGUUGAAUAUGGCCGGUGUCAGUAAACAUCUGCAAAAAAGCGUAAUGAAGUUGUUUCCAGCCGAGCUGGUUCGGCUGUUUUCAUGUUUUCCAGAGGUAAACAAAUCAUCGGCCAGAGCGUCAAGAGUGCACUCUGAGAGUGAAAUGAGAUGGGUGGGGCUAAAGCUUAAGGGGGUGUGAACAUUGUUGAAUGGAAGAAGAGCUCUUCACUAGAUACCAAAAUAUUCAAAGGCGAUUUUCUCAAAAACUUGUAGAAGCAGCUCAAGUUCCCGUAGCACAUUGUCAAGACAACUCUGAGCCCAGACAUCACCCUGGUCUCAGAUUCCCCAAAGACCAUUAUCAUUCUGGAGCUGACAGUCCCUUGGGAAGAUCUUCUGGAGGAGGCGUACGAGAGGAAGAGGGCCAAGUAUGAGGGACUGCUCAUCGAAUGCCCGAAGUAGGGAUGAUUGGAAGGCUAGGUAUGUUUUGCUGGACAAUCCCUCUCACGAGGAGAACAAUCAGCAACACCAUCAAGGCAGCUGAUAGAGCCUCAAGAUGGCUCUGGAUCAUGAGGAAAUCAAUAGGGAGCAGAGUAAUGCAUUUACACAAUUCGAGGUCUGAUCAACCUCUGCUGGGUCGCCUGGGCGAGGGUGUCUGAUGAUGCAAAACAACCAAUGACCCUAGGUUACGUCACUAAUGAUGUGUCCAGGAGUAUCAAGAGAUGUAUUAAUUACAUUUUUCUCAAAAUUAAAUUGUACCAAAUCGGAACAAAUUUGUUUCAGAAACAAGGGCAAAAGAACCCAGUCUUGGUAAAUAUGUAAUAUCA
RNAcentral lists this long non-coding RNA (1146 nucleotides) under Salmo salar (Atlantic salmon). RNAcentral's name for it is "lncRNA (ENSSSAG00000094131.1)". The record is from RNAcentral. Lineage: Eukaryota; Metazoa; Chordata; Actinopteri; Salmoniformes; Salmonidae.